Molecule: ribosomal RNA, 404 nt
Filed under: Acidobacteriota bacterium
Lineage: Bacteria; Pseudomonadati; Acidobacteriota
Description: Acidobacteria bacterium partial 16S ribosomal RNA
Rfam family: Bacterial small subunit ribosomal RNA
Source: RNAcentral
UGGGGAAUAUUGCACAAUGGGGGAAACCCUGAUGCAGCGACGCCGCGUGAAGGAAGAAGUAUUUCGGUAUGUAAACUUCUAUCAGCAGUGAAGAAAAUGACGGUACCUGAGUAAGAAGCACCGGCUAAAUACGUGCCAGCAGCCGCGGUAAUACGUAUGGUGCAAGCGUUAUCCGGAUUUACUGGGUGUAAAGGGAGCGUAGACGGAUAGGCAAGUCUGGAGUGAAAACCCAGGGCUCAACCCUGGGACUGCUUUGGAAACUGCAGAUCUGGAGUGCCGGAGAGGUAAGCGGAAUUCCUAGUGUAGCGGUGAAAUGCGUAGAUAUUAGGAGGAACACCAGUGGCGAAGGCGGCUUACUGGACGGUGACUGACGUUGAGGCUCGAAAGCGUGGGGAGCAAACAGG